Molecule: ribosomal RNA, 497 nt
Filed under: uncultured bacterium
Lineage: Bacteria
Description: partial 16S ribosomal RNA
Rfam family: Bacterial small subunit ribosomal RNA
Source: RNAcentral
GAUGAACGCUGGCGGCGUGCCUAAUACAUGCAAGUCGAGCGAACAGACGAGGAGCUUGCUCCUCUGACGUUAGCGGCGGACGUGUGAGUAACACGUGUAUAACCUACCUAUCAGACUGGUAUAACUUCGGGAAACCGGAUCUAAUACCGGAUAAUAUAUUGAACCGCAUGGUGCAAUAGUGAAAGACGGUGUUGCUGUCACGUAUAGAGGGAUACGCGCCGCAUUAGCUAGUUGGUAAGUUAACGGCUUACCAAGGCAACGAUGCGUAGCCGAACUGAGAGGGUGGUAGGCCACACUGGAGGUGGGACAGCGUCCAGACGCCUAAGGGAGGCAGCAGUAGGGAACCGGCCGCAGUAGUCGAAAGCAUUACGGAGCAACGCCGCGUGUGAGACGACGGUGUUGCGAUCGUGAAAAUGUGUUACGAGUGAAGAACAGCUGUGGCCGGAAACAAGCAGGGAGUGACGGUACCUAAUAAGAAAGCACCGGCUAACUACGUG